UGAGGCAUAAACUUUUAUUCUUCCCCGACAAUCCCACUUCGUCUUCACCGAUUGAAUUCUCUGCAAUUUGCCGUUACCUUGACCAACGCUUCAUCAAUCUAUUAUGCGUAUAAGUCUUCUUAAAUGGUUUCGUUUCACCUCCCCCUCUUUCUCCUUCUAUUUAAAAUGCUCCAUCUGAUUUCUAAUCACCCCUAAUAGAAAACCUCCCCUGAAGAACAUAAGAAGCUACAGCUACGAGUACCUGGAUGAAUCGAUGUUAAUACUGGAGAAUACACCUAGGAGCUGGCCCUUGCAACCUCUCCAAUAAAGAUUCUCUCCUCCAUGAGCGUUUGUUUCUCGAAGACUUCGAUGAUGUUAUGCCUUUGAAUUGAAAUAAUCGUCCUCUGUCCUCUGCUUCCGCCUCUGUUCUUCAGUGAUCUUCGCUUUCUGAAAUCUUAUCAUGCUCUUUGUCGGAAACAUGGCUUACCUGAUGUAUAGCAAUCGAAAUUAACCUUCUUUCUCAAAAGCUCGAGUCUGUACGUUUCAUGAUCGUGUUGGUUUCAGACACCGGUCUUGAAGGUCGUCUCUCUUCCGCUGCUGCUUCCAUUUCAUGUCUUGGAACCUAGACAGUCCAGUUCAGACAGAAAUGGCAGUGGCGGUCUUCAUAUAAGAACUCCAACUCUCUCAUCUCAAAAACAAAAACCUCCAGGCAAACUAACUGCUUUUGUAUAAUUUUUCAUGCGUUCCAAAUGGCAGGAAAAUUGUGCCUGAGCUCUAUGUCGUCAUCUAGAGUUUUUUUGGACCACGACGUUGACCCCACCAAAGAAUACUUGAACUGGUAGACUGUGAAUCCAGCUGUUGCUUCGUCAGGGAACCCUGUAGAGGUUGCUAAUGUUGAAACUCUCACAAUACUUGAGAUUGCUGCCUUCAUCAAGCGUCAGCCUUCUAAGAUUGCCUACUUUGACUGCAUUGCCACAAUUGAUGAUGUCAAGCUUGGCACUGGGUGGUAUUACAUUGCUUGCAAGGAUUAUCAGACAAAACAUAUUUGCAUUCUGAAAAGUGUACAAUAAUCACUUCUCCUUUAGCACAGCUACCGGGUGGAAAUAUCUGUCUAUGAUAGUGGGGAGCAUAGCACUUUCAUCAUUCUUGGAGAUGCUGGGAAAGAGCUGACAUGCAGAAAAGCAACAGAGUUAAUCGAUAUUUAUGCUGUGGAAAAUGGUGGUGAUGGUGCUGAGCUUGAGGUCCCAAUACUACAAUGUUUCAGUGAUACCAUAGGACAGAAACAAAUUCAGGAUCAAGGUGGCCCACUUCAAUUUCACAUCAAACAGACUAUCCUUGAUUGUUAUAAAAAAAGUCUCCCCUGCAGUCUUACCACCGAAGGAUCACCCACUUGACAUGGCUGCUAUGCCUAUUUCUUCAAGCCAAAACAACCCUGCAGCAACCUGAGAGAAGAAAUCAAAGCGCAUCAGGCGUAAUGGUUAGCUCAUCCUACACUCAUGUCACUCCAUCAAUGGCUGAUACAGAGUUCAGGCUGCCGAGUCAGCAUGCUUUUCUAAUAAUUUUUUUACUUUGGUAUUAGUUUUUCUUUUCAACAAUUCAUUUUUUUCCUCAAAACAGAACCAACUAAAUAAAUAAUGAAAUCAUGGGACC
Raphanus sativus (radish) is the source of this 1629-nucleotide long non-coding RNA. RefSeq lists it as uncharacterized. Lineage: Eukaryota; Viridiplantae; Streptophyta; Magnoliopsida; Brassicales; Brassicaceae. The record is from RefSeq and is a predicted model, not a curated record. The transcript has 7 exons.